RNAcentral lists this RNase P RNA (383 nucleotides) under Staphylococcus americanisciuri. RNAcentral's name for it is "RNase P RNA component class B". It matches the Rfam family "Bacterial RNase P class B". Rfam says of the family: Ribonuclease P (RNase P) is a ubiquitous endoribonuclease, found in archaea, bacteria and eukarya as well as chloroplasts and mitochondria. Its best characterised activity is the generation of mature 5'-ends of tRNAs by cleaving the 5'-leader elements of precursor-tRNAs. The record is from RNAcentral. Lineage: Bacteria; Bacillati; Bacillota; Bacilli; Caryophanales; Staphylococcaceae.
UAUUUUGGGUAAUCGCUAUAAAUUAAUUUUUAUAGAGGAAAGUCCAUGCUCACACAGUCUGAGAUGAUUGUAGUGUUCGUGCUUGAUGAAACAAUAAGUCAAGGCAAUGCAAAUUGACGGCAACGAAUUAACCUAAGUCUUUUGAUAGGGUUAUAGUAGUUUGAAAGUGCCACAGUGACGUAGCUCUGAUAGAAAUAGCAGAGGUGGAACGCGGUAAACCCCUCGAGUGAGCAAUCCAAAUUUGGUAGGAGCACUCGUUUAGCGGAAAUGAACGCAUAAACGAGAAUGUAUGUUAAUCAUACUUUAGACAGAUGAUUACCACCGGCGUACCAGUGUAACUAGUGCACGUAUGAGUACUAUGGAACAGAACAUGGCUUAUAGAA